Molecule: long non-coding RNA, 770 nt
Filed under: Hordeum vulgare
Lineage: Eukaryota; Viridiplantae; Streptophyta; Magnoliopsida; Poales; Poaceae
Description: long non-coding RNA (HVUL_LNC019915)
Source: RNAcentral
AAUUGUGCAGACAAUAGGGUCCCAUUUGCAGGGUACGCUGACGGGUGCAAUGAACAAACUGGCCGGGAAUGGUGGAUCGAGUAUCUCAGGAUGAAUCACCGGAGCUACUAACCCGGCUUGACCUCCGGCCACUCUACCUGCCUCAAAACUGUCGGCGUCUGAACUUUUCUGUUUUUUUGAGUAACUAGUAGUACUAGGUUUUUUUAGGGGAGAAUAAUAACUAGGCUGCUAUACAUGGAAAUCACAGGUUGAGUUCGUCGUCGUCGCCAGUUCUUUGCCGAGGACAAGGAACUGUUUUUAGGGGUGCCUACUGCCUAGACAACACGAAUCUUCGGGAGGGACAACAGCAAGUAAUCAAGGAUCCGAUGAUUGUGACCCUAAAAAGGAAGAUCCAAUGAUUAAGGUGACACGCCAAUCGGGGAAAAUAAAGUUACCGCUAAAUAUCGCGGGCAAAAGGGAAAUCCAUGGCUACGGAUGAGUUCGCGGAUUCUUUGAGUGAUCCGAGGGGCAACUUCGCAUCUGUCAAAACCGUCGGUGCACGGUGCAUGCAUGAUUGUCAGCAAAGUACGGGGACUGUGUAAAAUAUCAUGAAAAAUAUAGGAUCAUGAGCUCGACACUAGGGCAUGGUAACACUAGGGCGUACCAUUACUUGCAUGUUCUCUGCUCCCUCCGUUCAUAAAUAUAGGUCUUUAAAAAAUUUUCAUUAGUGAACUACAUACGGAUGUAUAUAGACAUAUUUUAGAGUAUACAUUCACUCAUUUUGCUUCGUA